This 850-nucleotide ribosomal RNA is filed under the name uncultured bacterium. RNAcentral describes it as "bacterial SSU rRNA". It matches the Rfam family "Bacterial small subunit ribosomal RNA", at positions 8 to 818 of the family's 1533-position model. The record is from RNAcentral.
AGAGUUUGAUCCUGGCUCAGGACGAACCCUUGCGGCGUGCCUAAUACAUGCAAGUCGAGCGAGCUUGCCUAGAUGAUUUUAGUGCUUGCACUAAAUGAAACUAGAUACAAGCGAGCGGCGGACGGGUGAGUAACACGUGGGUAACCUGCCCAAGAGACUGGGAUAACACCUGGAAACAGAUGCUAAUACCGGAUAACAACACUAGACGCAUGUCUAGAGUUUGAAAGAUGGUUCUGCUAUCACUCUUGGAUGGACCUGCGGUGCAUUAGCUAGUUGGUAAGGUAACGGCUUACCAAGGCAAUGAUGCAUAGCCGAGUUGAGAGACUGAUCGGCCACAUUGGGACUGAGACACGGCCCAAACUCCUACGGGAGGCAGCAGUAGGGAAUCUUCCACAAUGGACGAAAGUCUGAUGGAGCAACGCCGCGUGAGUGAAGAAGGGUUUCGGCUCGUAAAGCUCUGUUGGUAGUGAAGAAAGAUAGAGGUAGUAACUGGCCUUUAUUUGACGGUAAUUACUUAGAAAGUCACGGCUAACUACGUGCCAGCAGCCGCGGUAAUACGUAGGUGGCAAGCGUUGUCCGGAUUUAUUGGGCGUAAAGCGAGUGCAGGCGGUUCAAUAAGUCUGAUGUGAAAGCCUUCGGCUCAACCGGAGAAUUGCAUCAGAAACUGUUGAACUUGAGUGCAGAAGAGGAGAGUGGAAUUCCAUGUGUAGCGGUGGAAUGCGUAGAUAUAUGGAAGAACACCAGUGGCGAAGGCGGCUCUCUGGUCUGCAACUGACGCUGAGGCUCGAAAGCAUGGGUAGCGAACAGGAUUAGAUACCCUGGUAGCCCAUGCCGUAAACGAUGAGUGGUA